CCCUUUAGACGGGGACAACAUUCCGAAAGGAGUGCUAAUACCGGAUGUGAUCAUCUUGCCGCAUGGCAGGAUGAAGAAAGAUGGCCUCUACAAGUAAGCUAUCGCUAAAGGAUGGGCCUGCGUCUGAUUAGCUAGUUGGUAGUGUAACGGACUACCAAGGCGAUGAUCAGUAGCCGGUCUGAGAGGAUGAACGGCCACAUUGGGACUGAGACACGGCCCAA
This 221-nucleotide ribosomal RNA is filed under the name uncultured bacterium. RNAcentral describes it as "partial 16S ribosomal RNA". It matches the Rfam family "Bacterial small subunit ribosomal RNA", at positions 129 to 334 of the family's 1533-position model. The record is from RNAcentral.